RNAcentral lists this ribosomal RNA (242 nucleotides) under uncultured bacterium. RNAcentral describes it as "partial 16S ribosomal RNA". It matches the Rfam family "Bacterial small subunit ribosomal RNA", at positions 333 to 567 of the family's 1533-position model. The record is from RNAcentral.
UCGUUCCUACGGGACGCAGCAGUAGGGAAUCUUCCACAAUGGACGAAAGUCUGAUGGAGCAACGCCGCGUGAGUGAAGAAGGGUUUCGGCUCGGAAAGCUCUGUUGGUAGGGAAGAAAGAUAGAGGGAGUAACUGGCCUUUAUUUGACGGGAAUUACUUAGAAAGUCACGGCUAAAUACGUGCCAGCAGCCGCGGUAAUACGUAGGUGGCAAGCGUUGUCCGGAUUUAUUGGGCGUAAAGCG